AGAGUUUGAUCCUGGCUCAGGACGAACGCUGGCGGCGUGCUUAACACAUGCAAGUCGAACGGAAAGGCCCUGCUUUUGUGGGGUGCUCGAGUGGCGAACGGGUGAGUAACACGUGAGUAACCUGCCCUUGACUUUGGGAUAACUUCAGGAAACUGGGGCUAAUACCGGAUAGGAGCUCCUGCUGCAUGGUGGGGGUUGGAAAGUUUCGGCGGUUGGGGAUGGACUCGCGGCUUAUCAGCUUGUUGGUGGGGUAGUGGCUUACCAAGGCUUUGACGGGUAGCCGGCCUGAGAGGGUGACCGGCCACAUUGGGACUGAGAUACGGCCCAGACUCCUACGGGAGGCAGCAGUGGGGAAUAUUGCACAAUGGGCGGAAGCCUGAUGCAGCAACGCCGCGUGCGGGAUGACGGCCUUCGGGUUGUAAACCGCUUUCGCCUGUGACGAAGCGUGAGUGACGGUAAUGGGUAAAGAAGCACCGGCUAACCACGUG
RNAcentral lists this ribosomal RNA (488 nucleotides) under uncultured Propionibacterium sp. RNAcentral's name for it is "bacterial SSU rRNA". It matches the Rfam family "Bacterial small subunit ribosomal RNA", at positions 8 to 507 of the family's 1533-position model. The record is from RNAcentral. Lineage: Bacteria; Bacillati; Actinomycetota; Actinomycetes; Propionibacteriales; Propionibacteriaceae.